Molecule: non-coding RNA, 28 nt
Filed under: Rattus norvegicus (Norway rat)
Lineage: Eukaryota; Metazoa; Chordata; Mammalia; Rodentia; Muridae
Source: RNAcentral
UGGGAAUACCAUCAAGUCAGGUUGCUUC